This 414-nucleotide ribosomal RNA is filed under the name uncultured microorganism. RNAcentral's name for it is "bacterial SSU rRNA". It matches the Rfam family "Archaeal small subunit ribosomal RNA", at positions 459 to 872 of the family's 1478-position model. The record is from RNAcentral.
CAGCCGCCGCGGUAAUACCGGCGGCCCGAGUGGCGGCCACUCUUAUUGGGCUUAAAGCGUCCGUAGCCGGGUUGGUUAGUCUCCCGGGAAAUCUGGCCGCUUAACGGUCAGAAUUCCGGGAGAUACUGCCAGCCUAGGGACCGGGAGAGGCCGAGGGUAUUCCCGGAGUAGGGGUGAAAUCCUAUAAUCCCGGGAGGACCACCUGUGGCGAAGGCGCUCGGCUGGAACGGGUCCGACGGUGAGGGACGAAGGCCAGGGGAGCAAACCGGAGUAGAUACCCGGGUAGUCCUGGCUGUAAACGAUGCGGACUUUGUGUCGGACAAGCUAUGAGCUUGUCCGGUGCCGGAGGGAAACCGUUAAGUCCGCCGCCUGGGGAGUACGGCCGCAAGGCUGAAACUUAAAGGAGUUGGCGGG